This 449-nucleotide ribosomal RNA is filed under the name uncultured bacterium. Its description in RNAcentral is "bacterial SSU rRNA". It matches the Rfam family "Bacterial small subunit ribosomal RNA", at positions 328 to 793 of the family's 1533-position model. The record is from RNAcentral.
CUCUGUGACUCCUACGGGAGGCAGCAGUGGGAAUAUUGCACAAUGGGCGCAAGCCUGAUGCAGCAACGCCGUGUGAGUGAAGAAGGUUUUCGGAUCGUAAAACUCUGUCCUAAGGGAAGAAACAAAUGACGGUACCUUAGGAGGAAGCCCCGGCUAACUACGUGCCAGCAGCCGCGGUAAUACGUAGGGGGCAAGCGUUAUCCGGAAUCACUGGGCGUAAAGGGUGCGUAGGCGGCUUAGCAAGCCAGGGGUGAAAGGCAUUGGCUCAACCAAUGUAAGCCUUUGGAACUGUUAAGCUUGAGUGCAGGAGAGGUAAGUGGAAUUCCUAGUGUAGAGGUGAAAUUCGUAGAUAUUAGGAGGAACACCAGUGGCGAAGGCGACUUACUGGACUGUAACUGACGCUGAUGCACGAAAGCGUGGGUAGCGAACAGGAUUAGAUACCCUGGUAG